GAUGAACGCUGGCGGCGUGCCUAAUACAUGCAAGUCGAGCGAACGGACGAGAAGCUUGCUUCUCUGAUGUUAGCGGCGGACGGGUGAGUAACACGUGGAUAACCUACCUAUAAGACUGGGAUAACUUCGGGAAACCGGAACUAAUACCGGAUGAUAUUUUGAACCGCAUGGUUCAAAAGUGAAAGACGGUCUUGCUGUCACUUAUAGAUGGAUCCGCGCUGCAUUAGCUAGUUGGUAAGGUAACGGCUUACCAGGGCAACGAUGCAUAGCCGACCUGAGAGGGUGAUCGGCCACACUGGAACUGAGACACGGUCCAGACUCCUACGGGAGGCAGCAGUAGGGAAUCUUCCGCAAUGGGCGAAAGCCUGACGGAGCAACGCCGCGUGAGUGAUGAAGGUCUUCGGAUCGUAAAACUCUGUUAUUAGGGAAGAACAUAUGUGUAAGUAACUGUGCACAUCUUGACGGUACCUAAUCAGAAAGCCACGGCUAACUACGUG
Molecule: ribosomal RNA, 497 nt
Filed under: uncultured bacterium
Lineage: Bacteria
Description: partial 16S ribosomal RNA
Rfam family: Bacterial small subunit ribosomal RNA
Source: RNAcentral